Molecule: non-coding RNA, 31 nt
Filed under: Mus musculus (house mouse)
Lineage: Eukaryota; Metazoa; Chordata; Mammalia; Rodentia; Muridae
Source: RNAcentral
UACCUGUUUGGUUUUGAUCUGGUUUUAUGGC